AAGCGCUUGUGACCAGACUUGUGCCCGGCGGAUCAACCAGCGUUCUCGCUGGUGCACUCCUCCGGGCUCAGGCCAGCAUCGGUUUUCAUAGGGGGAUAAAAGCCUUGGGAAUGUGGCUCCUCCGGGAGUGUUAUAGCCCAUUGCAUAAUAUCCUGGGGUGGACUGAGGUUCGCGCAUCUGCAAGGAUGCUGGCGUAAUGGUCAUCAGCGA
This 210-nucleotide ribosomal RNA is filed under the name Clavicipitaceae sp. RNAcentral describes it as "partial large subunit ribosomal RNA". Lineage: Eukaryota; Fungi; Ascomycota; Sordariomycetes; Hypocreales; Clavicipitaceae. The record is from RNAcentral.